UAGGGAAUCUUCCGCAAUGGACGCAAGUCUGACGGAGCAACGCCGCGUGAGUGAAGAAGGAUUUCGGUUCGUAAAACUCUGUUGUUAGAGAAGAACAGCGCAUAGAGUAACUGUUAUGCGUGUGACGGUAUCUAACCAGAAAGCCACGGCUAACUACGUGCCAGCAGCCGCGGUAAUACGUAGGUGGCAAGCGUUAUCCGGAAUUAUUGGGCGUAAAGAGCUUGUAGGCGGUUCGUCGCGUCUGGUGUGAAAGCCCAUCGCUUAACGGUGGGUUUGCGCCGGGUACGGGCGGGCUAGAGUGCAGUAGGGGAGACUGGAAUUCCCGGUGUAACGGUGGAAUGUGUAGAUAUCGGGAAGAACACCAAUGGCGAAGGCAGGUCUCUGGGCUGUUACUGACGCUGAGAAGCGAAAGCGUGGGGAGCGAACAGG
This 429-nucleotide ribosomal RNA is filed under the name Bacteroidota bacterium. RNAcentral's name for it is "Bacteroidetes bacterium partial 16S ribosomal RNA". It matches the Rfam family "Bacterial small subunit ribosomal RNA", at positions 355 to 776 of the family's 1533-position model. Lineage: Bacteria; Pseudomonadati; Bacteroidota. The record is from RNAcentral.